CACAAAAAAAUUAUCCCAGAUUAGCAUAUUUACAUAUUAUACAAAGGAAGAAACUGUGCAGAUUUCAGGUCUGUCUGAUAAGUGACAGAGUGUGAUGAGGCGUCCAAUCAAAACACUGGACAGCGUAAAGGUGAAGAACAGCGUUUCCUCCAUCAGGUCCAUUAUUUUGUAUAUCAGCUGUGUACUAUGACUCUUAUACCACGGCCACUUACUGAAGAAUAUAAAGGCAGCGUGUGUUUUCAUCAUUAGCAGCUUUUACACUUUGUUUGUUGUCAUUUUACUCAUGUGAUGUGUGUGAAGCAUCAAAGUUGUUGCUAUGGUUACCUGCUGGUAUGUUUGAUGUGCUCUGAUGGACAGUUUUAUUACCUGCCAGCCAAUGGGAAACUGGUAUUUUCUGUGUCCGUGGUAUAAAGUUGAAUUCUAACAGU
This is a long non-coding RNA of Siniperca chuatsi (mandarin fish), 428 nucleotides long. RefSeq lists it as uncharacterized. The transcript has 2 exons. Lineage: Eukaryota; Metazoa; Chordata; Actinopteri; Centrarchiformes; Sinipercidae. The record is from RefSeq and is a predicted model, not a curated record.